UGACGGUACCUGAAGAAUAAGCACCGGCUAACUACGUGCCAGCAGCCGCGGUAAUACGUAGGGUGCAAGCGUUAAUCGGAAUUACUGGGCGUAAAGCGUGCGCAGGCGGUUUGUUAAGACAGUCGUGAAAUCCCCGGGCUUAACCUGGGAACUGCGAUUGUGACUGGCAAGCUAGAGUACGGCAGAGGGGGGUGGAAUUCCUGGUGUAGCAGUGAAAUGCGCAGAUAUCAGGAGGAACACCAAUGGCGAAGGCAGGUCUCCGGGCCAUAACUGACACUGAGGAGCGAAAGUGCGGGGAGCGAACAGGAUUAGAUACCCUGGUAGUCCGCACCGUAAACGGUGGGCACUAGUUGUGGGAACCUUCCACGGUUUCCACGACGCAGCAAACGCAUUAAGUGCCCCGCCUGGGGAGUACGAUCGCAAGAUUAAAACUCAAAGGAAUUGACGGGGCCCCGCACAAGCAGCGGAGCAUGCGGCUUAAUUCGACGCAACGCGAAGAACCUUACCAAGGCUUGACAUAUAAGUGAAAAGUGGCAGAGAUGUCAUGUCCGCAAGGGCGCUAUACAGGUGGUUGCAUGGUUGUCGUCAGC
This 590-nucleotide ribosomal RNA is filed under the name uncultured bacterium. Its description in RNAcentral is "bacterial SSU rRNA". It matches the Rfam family "Bacterial small subunit ribosomal RNA", at positions 470 to 1059 of the family's 1533-position model. The record is from RNAcentral.